GGUGUACCAACCAACCAACUAACUCCAAACUAACUCCCAUCCAAGCUCCCGGGUGUCUUGGAUUCGAUUCUAUAAAGAGUUGUUCUUUGUUCUGAAACCGAGUUUUAUUGAGAAAAACCAAAAUCCAAGAUGGCGGCAGAAAGAUAAAUUUCGAAAUGGCGAAAAAUGUUGUUUAAAUUUUGGACCGUUUCUCUUUUCUACAGGUACCUAACUUUAAUAAAAAAUGGAUGGGGAAGAAAAAAAAAACUGCUUCACUAUUUCAACAAUUUUAAAGCCAUAAAUCAAUAAUAAACGGUAUAAAAAUCUUAAAUUCUAAUCAUCGACAUCGUCUUCAAUACAAACAACUUCUGAAUCUGAAAAAAACAACACUUCACGAUCGUAAUCUUGGAGUUUGUCCAAG
Molecule: long non-coding RNA, 400 nt
Organism: Episyrphus balteatus (marmalade hoverfly)
Lineage: Eukaryota; Metazoa; Arthropoda; Insecta; Diptera; Syrphidae
Exons: 3
Source: RefSeq, a predicted model, not a curated record